Molecule: ribosomal RNA, 987 nt
Filed under: human metagenome
Description: bacterial LSU rRNA
Rfam family: Bacterial large subunit ribosomal RNA
Source: RNAcentral
ACCAUCCUAAGGUAGCGAAAUUCCUUGUCGGGUAAGUUCCGACCUGCACGAAUGGAGUAACGACUUCCCUACUGUCUCAACCAUGAACUCGGCGAAAUUGCAGUACGAGUAAAGAUGCUCGUUUCGCGCAGCAGGACGGAAAGACCCCGUGACCUUUACUAUAGUUUGGUAUUGGUGUUUGGUUUGGCUUGUGUAGGAUAGGUGGGAGACUGUGAAGCAUGGACGCUAGUUUGUGUGGAGUCGUUGUUGAAAUACCACUCUGGUCAAUCUGGAUGUCUAACUUCGGGCCAUGAUCUGGUUCAGGGACAGUGCCUGAUGGGUAGUUUAACUGGGGCGGUUGCCUCCUAAAGUGUAACGGAGGCGCCCAAAGGUUCCCUCAGCCUGGUUGGCAAUCAGGUGUUGAGUGUAAGUGCACAAGGGAGCUUGACUGUGAGACUGGCAGGUCGAGCAGGGACGAAAGUCGGGACUAGUGAUCCGGCGGUACGUUGUGGAACGGCCGUCGCUCAACGGAUAAAAGGUACCUCGGGGAUAACAGGCUGAUCUUGCCCAAGAGUCCAUAUCGACGGCAUGGUUUGGCACCUCGAUGUCGGCUCGUCGCAUCCUGGGGCUGGAGUCGGUCCCAAGGGUUGGGCUGUUCGCCCAUUAAAGCGGUACGCGAGCUGGGUUCAGAACGUCGUGAGACAGUUCGGUCCCUAUCCGCUGCGCGCGUUGGAAAUUUGAGAAAGGCUGUCCUUAGUACGAGAGGACCGGGACGGACGAACCUCUGGUAUGUCAGUUGUACCGCCAGGUGCAUGGCUGAUUGGCUACGUUCGGGAGGGAUAACCGCUGAAAGCAUCUAAGCGGGAAGCCUGUUUCGAGAUGAGAUUUCCUGGCACUUUUUGGUGUGUGAGGCUCCUUAUAGAUGAUGAGGUUGAUAGGCCGGGUAUGGAAGCGAGGACUGAAGACUCGUGGAGUUGACUGGUACUAAUAGGUCGAAGGCUUACUUUU